Choloepus didactylus (southern two-toed sloth) is the source of this 103-nucleotide small nuclear RNA. The record is from RefSeq and is a predicted model, not a curated record. NCBI's taxonomy places the organism in Eukaryota, Metazoa, Chordata, Mammalia, Pilosa, Megalonychidae.
UCACUUUGCCAGUGCAUAUACUACAAUUGGAAUCAUACAGAGAAGAUUAGCAUGGCCCCUGUGCAAGGAUCACAUGCAAAUUCUUUUUUUUUAAUAUUCAUUU